This 252-nucleotide ribosomal RNA is filed under the name Triticum aestivum (bread wheat). RNAcentral describes it as "partial small subunit ribosomal RNA". Lineage: Eukaryota; Viridiplantae; Streptophyta; Magnoliopsida; Poales; Poaceae. The record is from RNAcentral.
AUGGCGCUUAUCAAGAAGAACACAAAUGCCCUGUGCUUGGUAAUUCUUCUGAUGUCUACCACUUUGUUGGCAUGCGAGGCGACCGGGAGAAACAAAGGUACAACUGCAUUGAUUGAUGUGUGCAAACGUGAUCGGUUAUGCGAGAAUCCGAUAGGAUACAAUGUUACCUUGUGUAAGGUUUCAUGCGAAUGGUCUGGCUACAGUUUCUACAACAGCUAUUGUGAGGAGGGUAAAUGCUGUUGCGCAUCCUAA